This 495-nucleotide ribosomal RNA is filed under the name uncultured bacterium. RNAcentral describes it as "partial 16S ribosomal RNA". It matches the Rfam family "Bacterial small subunit ribosomal RNA", at positions 28 to 507 of the family's 1533-position model. The record is from RNAcentral.
GACGAACGCUGGCGGCGUGCCUAAUACAUGCAAGUCGAACGCUGAAGGAGGAGCUUGCUUCUCUGGAUGAGUUGCGAACGGGUGAGUAACGCGUAGGUAACCUGCCUGGUAGCGGGGGAUAACUAUUGGAAACGAUAGCUAAUACCGCAUAAUAGUAGAUGUUGCAUGACAUUUGCUUAAAAGGUGCAAUUGCAUCACUACCAGAUGGACCUGCGUUGUAUUAGCUAGUUGGUGGGGUAACGGCUCACCAAGGCGACGAUACAUAGCCGACCUGAGAGGGUGAUCGGCCACACUGGGACUGAGACACGGCCCAGACUCCUACGGGAGGCAGCAGUAGGGAAUCUUCGGCAAUGGACGGAAGUCUGACCGAGCAACGCCGCGUGAGUGAAGAAGGUUUUCGGAUCGUAAAGCUCUGUUGUAAGAGAAGAGCGAGUGUGAGAGUGGAAAGUUCACACUGUGACGGUAUCUUACCAGAAAGGGACGGCUAACUACGUG